This 110-nucleotide small nucleolar RNA is filed under the name Oryza sativa (Asian cultivated rice). Its description in RNAcentral is "Z264 small nucleolar RNA". Lineage: Eukaryota; Viridiplantae; Streptophyta; Magnoliopsida; Poales; Poaceae. The record is from RNAcentral.
AGCCGAUCGAUGAUGCGCUGCGCCAGCGUUUGCAAACGUUCGCGAUCGGUCUGAGGCGCCAGCACCAAAAAUUCGUCGCCGCCGAGGCGGGCGAGCACCUGAUCCGGGCU